RNAcentral lists this ribosomal RNA (422 nucleotides) under uncultured bacterium. RNAcentral's name for it is "bacterial SSU rRNA". It matches the Rfam family "Bacterial small subunit ribosomal RNA", at positions 355 to 774 of the family's 1533-position model. The record is from RNAcentral.
UGAGGAAUAUUGGACAAUGGGCGCAAGCCUGAUCCAGCCAUGCCGCGUGCAGGAAGAAGCAUCUAUGGUGUGUAAACUGCUUUUGUACGGGAAGAAACACCCCUUCGUGAAGGAGCUUGACGGUACCGUAAGAAUAAGGAUCGGCUAACUCUGUGCCAGCAGCCGCGGUAAUACGGAGGAUCCAAGCGUUAUCCGGAAUCAUUGGGUUUAAAGGGUCCGUAGGCGGUUUAGUAAGUCAGUGGUGAAAGCCCAUCGCUCAACGAUGGAACGGCCAUUGAUACUGCUAGACAUGAAGUAUUAGGAAGUAGCUAGAAUAUGUAGUGUAGCGGUGAAAUGCGUAGAUAUUACGUGGAAUACCAAUUGCGAAGGCAGGUUGCUACUGAUGGAUUGACGCUGAUGGACGAAAGCGUGGGGAGCGAACA